UGGGGAAUAUUGCACAAUGGGCGAAAGCCUGAUUCAGCGACGCCGCGUGAGGGAUGACGGCCUUCGGGUUGUACACCUCUUUCAGUAGGGACGAAGCGCAAGUGACUGUACCUGCAGAAGAAGCACCGGCUAACUACGUGCCCGCAGCCGCGGUAAUACGUAGGGUGCGAGCGUUGUCCGGAAUUACUGGGCGUAAAGAGCUUGUAGGCGGUUUGUCACGUCGUCUGUGAAAUCCUAGGGCUUAACCAUGGACGUGCAGGAGAUAAGGGCUGAAUGGAGUACUACAGGGGAGACUGGAAUUUCUGGAGUAGCGGUGGAAUGCACAGAAGUCAGGAAGAACACCGAUGGCGAAGGCAGGUCUCUGGGUAGUAACUGACGCUGAGGAGCGAAAGCAUGGGUAGCGAACAGG
This 409-nucleotide ribosomal RNA is filed under the name bacterium. RNAcentral's name for it is "partial 16S ribosomal RNA". It matches the Rfam family "Bacterial small subunit ribosomal RNA", at positions 355 to 776 of the family's 1533-position model. The record is from RNAcentral.